UUUUGAGUUAUGAGUCCAAAAUGCAAAAUCUUAAGUAAUAUUUAGUCAAGAUGACUUGAUUGUUUAAGUAAAGACAACAUUAGGGUUUAUUGUGCAGGGUGUGUGCUGCUUCUGUAAAACUCUGAGCUUUACUACGUGAGCUAUAGGGAAUUCUGUUGCUAUGGUUACCAUGAUGUAAUUUACAAACAUUGCAUGUUUUGAUUCUAGCAUAGACCUUUGAUAUUAUUAACAUCUUUUCUUAUUUUUAAGCAUUUUAAUCCAUCUUUCAGGGCUUUCAAAUACAUCUAUUGUCACUGUUACGGUCCACAACAAAGACAAACUGGCCUCCGGGCAUCGUGUGCCAGCUUUUUACUGAACAUUACUGUAAUGUUUGUUUAUAUAAAACAUGGGGAUAACGAGCAGUUUUUGGUCAACACCAAUUGCUCCAUCAUUUGCCUGCUGCAAUAUGUGAGAUCCAAGCUAAAACUCACUGAUACAGAUUUAGUGGAUCUUUGCGAUGAAAGGGGAGCACUGCUCUCCCUGUCUGGACACCGCCAGGGUUAUGCGAGUCAAAUAUUAACCCCUCGCAAAACAUAUAUAAUAUGCACCAUCAACCGUAGUUCUGAAGGAGCAUACGUCUCCAUCACCCCACAUGUGGCAAAUCUGGACUCGGUACUACAGGGAGUGCUACAGAGUGGGGUAGUCAGUCUUGAGCAGACUCGUCGUAAGAACCUGCAUGCUUUGGGGGGCCGUAAAACGGCAGUACAGACUCCGGCUCAGAAACAGCCUGUCAGACUUCAUAAUCCAGCAAGCAAAUGAGUAAGAUGACAUAUGAACUUGAGUUCCAGCCUCAGUAUUUGGUUCUGAAACUUAAGGGAUGACGAUGAACAGCAUCUUCAGAAUGUGAGAAGAAUGCAUUGUACAUAUCAUGGAGGAAUUACAGUUCACAAUAUAUUGUAAAAGAGUUUGGUGUCACUCCAUCUAUGCAAGAUGGAGUGAUCUACAUGGAGGUUAAGCCAAAACUUAAUAUAAAGUUCAGUCCAGUUCAGUAGUACAACCCCAAUUCUGAAAAGGUUGGGACAGUAUAGAAAAUGCUAAUAAAAACAAAGAGGAGUGAUUUUUAAAUGUAUUUUGACUUGUAUUUAAACCAAAAAUGUAUAAAGAAAAAGUAUUUGAUGUAUUACAUAGUCAACUGCAUAGUUUUUUGAAGAUAAACAUUUAUUUUGAAAUUGAUGCAUGCAACAUGUUCCAACAAAGUUGGGACAGGGGCAAUUUAGGACUACUAGCGAUGUGACAAGUUGAAAUAAGAAGGUGAUGUGAAACAGGUGAGGCGAUCGUCUAAUCAUAGUAUAUAAGGAGCCUCCAAAAAAGGCCUAGUCCUUCAAGAGCAAGGAUGGGUUGAGGCUCGCCAAUCUGCCAACAGAUGCGUCAGCGAAUAAUCCAACACUUUGAGAACAACAUUCCCCAAACACAAAUCGGUAGGAUUUUAGGCAUUUCACCUUCUGCAGUGCACAAUACAGUUAAAAGAUUCAAGGAAUCAAAUCUCAGUGCAUAAAGGGCAAGGCUGAAAACCACUUCUGAAUGCGUGUGAUCUCUGAUCCCUCAGACAUCACUGUCUUAAAAACCGUCAUGAGUCUGUAAUGAUAUCCUGACAUGGGCUCGGGAAUACUUUGGCAAACCUUUGUCAGUCAACACCACUCACCACUGCAUCCACAGAUUCAAGUUAAGGCUUUACUAUGCAAAGCAGAAGCCAUACAUCAACACUGUCCAGAAGCACCGCCAACUUCUUCUCAGUGGAAUCGUGUUUUGUGGUCUGAUGAGUCAACAUUUCAAAUAGUUCUUGGACAAAACAGCCGUCGUGUUCUCCGGGCCAAAGAGGAAAAGGACCGUCCAAGCUGUUAUCAGCAUCAGGUCCAAUAGCCAGCAUCCGUCAUGGUAUGGGGUGUGUCAGUGUUCAUGGCAUGGGUAACUUGCAUAUUUGUAAGGACAUAAUUAAUGCAGAAAGAUAUGUACACAUUUUGGAUCAACAUAUGCUGCCAUCUAGAGCAGGACAACGCCAAACCACAUUCUGCCACUUAGAAGCGCAUGCUUAUGGAAGCAGAGAGUGCGGGUGCUAGCAUGGCCUGCCUACAGUCCUGACCUGUUUCCGAUUGAGAAUGUGUGGCGCAUUAUGAAGUGCAAAAUAAGGCAACAAAGCCCCCAUACAGUUGUGCAGCUGACGAAAUGCAUAAUGGAUGAAUGGGGAAAAUUCCGCUUGCGAAACUUAACCGACUUGGUCUUUAGCACCCAAACACUUAAUAAGUGUUAUUAAGAGAAAAGGUGUUGUUACACAGUGGCAAACAGUCGACUGUCCCAACUUUUUUGGAGUGUGUUGCAGUUAUCAGAUU
This is an RNA transcript of Ictalurus punctatus (channel catfish), 2366 nucleotides long. It is a transcript of the gene named chromosome 8 CXorf65 homolog, with no coding region annotated. NCBI's taxonomy places the organism in Eukaryota, Metazoa, Chordata, Actinopteri, Siluriformes, Ictaluridae. The transcript is spliced from 7 exons. The record is from RefSeq and is a predicted model, not a curated record.